UACGAAGGGUGCAAGCGUUACUCGGAAUUACUGGGCGUAAAGCGUGCGUAGGUGGUGAGUUAAGUCUGUCGUGAAAGCCCCGGGCUCAACCUGGGAAUGGCGAUGGAUACUGGCUCGCUAGAGUGCGGUAGAGGAGAGUGGAAUUCCCGGUGUAGCAGUGAAAUGCGUAGAGAUCGGGAGGAACAUCAGUUGCGAAGGCGGCUCUCUGGACCAGCACUGACACUGAUGCACGAAAGCUAGGGGAGCAAACAGG
RNAcentral lists this ribosomal RNA (253 nucleotides) under uncultured bacterium. RNAcentral describes it as "partial 16S ribosomal RNA". It matches the Rfam family "Bacterial small subunit ribosomal RNA", at positions 524 to 776 of the family's 1533-position model. The record is from RNAcentral.